AUUGAACGCUGGCGGCAGGCUUAACACAUGCAAGUCGAGCGGAGAUGAGGUGCUUGCACCUUAUCUUAGCGGCGGACGGGUGAGUAAUGCUUAGGAAUCUGCCUAUUAGUGGGGGACAACAUUCCGAAAGGAAUGCUAAUACCGCAUACGUCCUAAGGGAGAAAGCAGGGGAUCUUCGGACCUUGCGCUAAUAGAUGCGCCUAAGCCGGAUGAGCUAGUUGGUGGGGUAAAGGCCUAACAAGGCGACGAUCUGUAACGGGUCUGAGAGGAUGCGCCUCCACACUGGGACUGAGACACGGCCCAGACUCCUACGGGAGGCAGCAGUGGGGAAUAUUGGACAAUGGGGGGAACCCUGAUCCAGCCAUGCCGCGUGUGUGAGGAAGGCCUUAUGGUUGUAAAGCACUUUAAGCGAGGAGGAGGCUACUGAGACUAAUACUCUUGGAUAGUGGACGUUACUCGCAGAAUAAGCACCGGCUAACUCUGUGCCAGCAGCCGCGGUAA
RNAcentral lists this ribosomal RNA (501 nucleotides) under uncultured bacterium. Its description in RNAcentral is "partial 16S ribosomal RNA". It matches the Rfam family "Bacterial small subunit ribosomal RNA", at positions 30 to 523 of the family's 1533-position model. The record is from RNAcentral.